Molecule: ribosomal RNA, 329 nt
Filed under: uncultured bacterium
Lineage: Bacteria
Description: bacterial SSU rRNA
Rfam family: Bacterial small subunit ribosomal RNA
Source: RNAcentral
GACGAACGCUGGCGGCAUGCUUAACACAUGCAAGUCGAACGAGACCUUCGGGUCUAGUGGCGCACGGGUGCGUAACGCGUGGGAAUCUGCCCUUUGCUACGGAAUAACUCAGAGAAAUUUGUGCUAAUACCGUAUAAUGUCGUAAGACCAAAGAUUUAUCGGCAAAGGAUGAGCCCGCGUAAGAUUAGCUUGUUGGUGAGGUAAAGGCUCACCAAGGCGACGAUCUUAGCUGGUCUGAGAGGAUGAUCAGCCACACUGGGACUGAGACACGGCCCAGACUCCGUACGGGAGGCAGCAGGUGGGAAUAUUGGACAAUGGGCGGAAAGCCC